UGAUCUUAUGAUGAAUGCAGUUCUUUAGA
This 29-nucleotide non-coding RNA is filed under the name Mus musculus (house mouse). The record is from RNAcentral. RNAcentral also lists the same sequence under 1 other name. Lineage: Eukaryota; Metazoa; Chordata; Mammalia; Rodentia; Muridae.